UAGCUAGUUGGUAGGGUAAAGGCCUACCAAGGCGACGAUCGGUAGCUGGUCUGAGAGGAUGGCCAGCCACACUGGAACUGAGACACGGUCCAGACUCCUACGGGAGGCAGCAGUGGGGAAUAUUGGACAAUGGGGGGAACCCUGAUCCAGCAAUGCCGCGUGUGUGAAGAAGGCCUGAGGGUUGUAAAGCACUUUCGGUGGGGAGGAGGUUACUUAGGUUAAGAGCUAGAGUAAUGGACGUUACCCACAGAAGAAGCACCGGCUAACUCCGUGCCAGCAGCCGCGGUAAUACGGAGGGUGCGAGCGUUAAUCGGAAUUACUGGGCGUAAAGGGUGCGUAGGUGGUUUGUUAAGUUAUCUGUAAAAUCCCUGGGCUCAACCUGGGCAGGUCAGAUAAGACUGAUAGACUCGAGUAUAGGAGAGGGUAGUGGAAUUUCCGGUGUAGCGGUGAAAUGCGUAGAGAUCGGAAGGAGCACCGGUGGCGAAGGCGGCUACCUGGCCUAAUACUGACACUGAGGCACGAAAGCGUGGGGAGCAAACAGGAUUAGAUACCCUGGUAGUCCACGCUGUAAACGAUGUCAACUAGCUGUUUGUUACAUAAAAGUAAUGAGUAGCGC
Molecule: ribosomal RNA, 616 nt
Filed under: uncultured Legionella sp.
Lineage: Bacteria; Pseudomonadati; Pseudomonadota; Gammaproteobacteria; Legionellales; Legionellaceae
Description: bacterial SSU rRNA
Rfam family: Bacterial small subunit ribosomal RNA
Source: RNAcentral